Oncorhynchus tshawytscha (Chinook salmon) is the source of this 444-nucleotide long non-coding RNA. Lineage: Eukaryota; Metazoa; Chordata; Actinopteri; Salmoniformes; Salmonidae. The record is from Ensembl.
CACACACCAGUCUCUACCUACAGAGAACAAACUACCAUGGACCAGGGGAAUCACACACCAGUCUCUACCUACAGAGAACAGUCUGAAUGACUCAAACUACCAGAACAACUAAAUGAAACUUGAGCGUUACACCUGUGGAAUGGUAUCAGGAAGGCUACCGUGUAUAACUAACUAUACAAUACUGCACAGCUUUUCAACAGUGAUGUGUUCUUUUUUAGCAACACAAUAGGGAUCUUUAAGGGACACAAUAAGAUGACCGUAUAUCACGGUCUCGUUCAUUGACCGCUGGUCUAGAAAUCAACAGUUCUGGAGAAAACAGUCUUUCCCCUCCAGAGACCUGACCCGUUCUUUUCAUUUUCCUCCUGUAAGCAGGACAAUCACGCUGCUACAGUUUGGCAGCUUCUCAAUGAGACAGGUUGGCCUCGUGUUCAGAAUGGCCCCAUG